UGGGGAAUAUUGCACAAUGGGCGAAAGCCUGAUGCAGCAACGCCGCGUGAGUGAUGAAGGCCUUCGGGUUGUAAAGCUCUGUCUUCUGGGACGAUAAUGACGGUACCAGAGGAGGAAGCCACGGCUAACUACGUGCCAGCAGCCGCGGUAAUACGUAGGUGGCAAGCGUUGUCCGGAUUUACUGGGCGUAAAGGAUGCGUAGGCGGAUACUUAAGUCAGAUGUGAAAAUCCCGGGCUUAACUUGGGAACUGCAUUUGAAACUGGGUAUCUAGAGUGCGGGAGAGGAAAGUGGAAUUCCUAGUGUAGCGGUGAAAUGCGUAGAGAUUAGGAAGAACACCAGUGGCGAAGGCGACUUUCUGGACCGCAACUGACGCUGAGGCAUGAAAGCGUGGGGAGCAAACA
Molecule: ribosomal RNA, 402 nt
Filed under: uncultured bacterium
Lineage: Bacteria
Description: bacterial SSU rRNA
Rfam family: Bacterial small subunit ribosomal RNA
Source: RNAcentral